AACGAACGCUGGCGGCAUGCCUAACACAUGCAAGUCGAACGAGACCUUCGGGUCUAAUGGCGCACGGGUGCGUAACGCGUGGGAACCUGCCCUUAGGUUCGGAAUAACUCCCCGAAAGGGGUGCUAAUACCGGAUAAUGUCUUCGGACCAAAGAUUUAUCGCCUUUGGAUGGGCCCGCGUUGGAUUAGCUAGUUGGUAGGGUAAAAGCCUACCAAGGCGACGAUCCAUAGCUGGUCUGAGAGGAUGAUCAGCCACACUGGGACUGAGACACGGCCCAGACUCCUACGGGAGGCAGCAGUGGGGAAUAUUGGACAAUGGGCGAAAGCCUGAUCCAGCAAUGCCGCGUGAGUGAUGAAGGCCUUAGGGUUGUAAAGCUCUUUUACCCGGGAUGAUAAUGACAGUACCGGGAGAAUAAGCUCCGGCUAACUCCGU
This 432-nucleotide ribosomal RNA is filed under the name uncultured bacterium. RNAcentral describes it as "partial 16S ribosomal RNA". It matches the Rfam family "Bacterial small subunit ribosomal RNA", at positions 29 to 506 of the family's 1533-position model. The record is from RNAcentral.